Molecule: long non-coding RNA, 262 nt
Filed under: Mytilus galloprovincialis (Mediterranean mussel)
Lineage: Eukaryota; Metazoa; Mollusca; Bivalvia; Mytilida; Mytilidae
Source: RNAcentral
GCACUUUAUUUUACAUUUUAAUAUUUUAUGAUGUAUUUAAAAGAGUAGUUAUUGUUGCAAACUCCAUUAGAAAUUUGAAUUGAUAUCAGUUUUGGAAAAAGGGAAACGGGGAUGUGAAAAAAAAGGGGGGGUUUAAAUUUUUCUCAUUUCAGAUUUCAUAAAUAAAAAGAAAAUUUCUUCAAACAUUUUUUUGAGAGGAUUAAUAUUCAACAGCUUAGUGAAUUGCUCAAAGGCAAAAAAAAAACUUUUAAGUUCAUUAGAC